AUGCAAGUCGAACGUGAUCCAUCCUUCGGGGUGGUGAAAGUGGCGCACGGGUGAGUAACGCGUGGAUAAUCUGCCCGAGGAUUUGGGAUAACAUCUCGAAAGGGGUGCUAAUACCGAAUAAGCCCACGGGGUCUACGGAUCUUGCGGGAAAAGGGGGGGACUUUCGGGCCUCCUGUCUUCGGAUGAGUCCGCGUACCAUUAGCUAGUUGGUAGGGUAAUGGCCUACCAAGGCGACGAUGGUUAGCUGGUCUGAGAGGAUGAUCAGCCACACUGGAACUGAGACACGGUCCAGACUCCUACGGGAGGCAGCAGUGGGGAAUUUUGCGCAAUGGGGGAAACCCUGACGCAGCAACGCCGCGUGGGUGAUGAAGGCCUUCGGGUCGUAAAGCCCUGUCGGGAGGGAAGAAAUGAUUGAGAGCUAAUACCUCUUGGUCUUGACGGUACCUCCGAAGGAAGCACCGGCUAACUCCGUGCCAGCAGCCGCGGUAAUACGGAGGGUGCAAGCGUUGUUCGGAAUUAUUGGGCGUAAAGCGCGUGUAGGCGGUCUUUUAAGUCUGAUGUGAAAGCCCCGGGCUCAACCUGGGAAGUGCAUUGGAAACUGGGAGACUUGAGUACGGGAGAGGAGAGUGGAAUUCCUAGUGUAGGAGUGAAAUCCGUAGAUAUUAGGAGGAACACCGGUGGCGAAGGCGGCUCUCUGGACCGAUACUGACGCUGAGACGCGAAAGCGUGG
This 730-nucleotide ribosomal RNA is filed under the name uncultured Geobacter sp. Its description in RNAcentral is "bacterial SSU rRNA". It matches the Rfam family "Bacterial small subunit ribosomal RNA", at positions 55 to 764 of the family's 1533-position model. Lineage: Bacteria; Pseudomonadati; Thermodesulfobacteriota; Desulfuromonadia; Geobacterales; Geobacteraceae. The record is from RNAcentral.